CCUGGAUAGCUCAAAGGGAGAGCAGAGGACUGAUAAUCCUUGGGUUGUGGGUUCGAAUCCCAUUCCGCAGAG
RNAcentral lists this transfer RNA (72 nucleotides) under Deltaproteobacteria bacterium. Its description in RNAcentral is "tRNA-Ile". The stretch from base 4 to 66 matches the Rfam family "tRNA", at positions 5 to 66 of the family's 71-position model. From Rfam's summary of the family: Transfer RNA (tRNA) molecules are approximately 80 nucleotides in length. The record is from RNAcentral. Lineage: Bacteria; Pseudomonadati; Myxococcota; Myxococcia.